UUUAUGCUCUGUAAUUGGAAUGAUGGGAAUGUAAAACCCUUCCAGAGUAACAAUUGGAGGGCAAGUCUGGUGCCAGCAGCCGCGGUAAUUCCAGCUCCAAUAGUGUAUAUUAGAGUUGUUGCAGUUAAAAAGCUCGUAGUUGGAUUUCUGUCGUGGUCAUCCGGCUCCGCCCGUAUGGGUGUGCGCCUGGUUUGGCCUCGGCUUUCUUCCGGUAGCCUUCCGCGCUUCACUGCGUGUGUUGGUGUUCCGGAACUUUUACUUUGAGAAAAAUAGAGUGUUUCAAGCAGGCUUGUCGCCCUGAAUACUUCAGCAUGGAAUAAUAAGAUAGGACCUUGGUUCUAUUUUGUUGGUUUCUAGGACCAAGGUAAUGGUUAAUAGGGACAGUUGGGGGCAUUCGUAUUUAACUGUCAGAGGUGAAAUUCUUAGAUUUGUUAAAGACGAACUACUGCGAAAGCAUUUGCCAAGGAUGUUUUCAUUAAUCAAGAACGACAGUAGGGGGUUUGAAGACGAUUAGAUACCGUCGUAAUCUCUACCAUAAACUAUGCCGACUAGAGAUAGGGAAACGCCUACCUUGG
RNAcentral lists this ribosomal RNA (575 nucleotides) under Eimeria papillata. RNAcentral's name for it is "SSU rRNA". It matches the Rfam family "Eukaryotic small subunit ribosomal RNA", at positions 495 to 1074 of the family's 1831-position model. Lineage: Eukaryota; Apicomplexa; Conoidasida; Eucoccidiorida; Eimeriidae. The record is from RNAcentral.